Long non-coding RNA from Amyelois transitella, 517 nucleotides. RefSeq lists it as uncharacterized. The transcript has 2 exons. The record is from RefSeq and is a predicted model, not a curated record. Lineage: Eukaryota; Metazoa; Arthropoda; Insecta; Lepidoptera; Pyralidae.
GCGCAAUCGUGAGGGCGCUAAGUUAAAUCUGUUAUAUAAAUAAUAAAACAUUUUGUAGUAACGCCAUUGUGAAUUCAGAUAUUCGAGUGCGCACUUGUACCUACUUUGUGUCUAAACUUUUCAUAUAGAGACGAAAUAUGACACCGACAACAAUAUUACUACUACUACUAGCUAUAGCGCCAUGCUUUUCUCAGAGGCCUUUCUACGCUGGAACCCGACCAAUCGGCUACCCGCAGGUCAUCAGAAGAUAUAGACAGGCGGAAUCGUUUGUCGCACCACAAUUAAAAGGAGAUGUGACCUAUGCUCAAAGACUUGAUAAUAUGCCUUUAGACCAACAACCUUUUUGGUACAUAAAUGAGAAUGAAUAUAGAAAGUUUCGAAAUAAUCCGAGAAGCUAUCCGCAGAGACCUAGCGUAUUCAAUGACAAUACAAUAUAAAAUGCUAUGUGAUUUUGUAAGAUUUUAAUUAAAAAUAUUGAUUUUAUGAUUGAUCCUGGAUAAAUCUUGUAUACAUUACA